GUGUCAGCAGCCGCGGUAAUACGUAGGUGGCAAGCGUUGUCCGGAAUUACUGGGCGUAAAGGGCGUGUAGGCGGCCUUUUAAGUCAGACGUGAAAUCCCUGGGCUUAACCCAGGAACUGCGUUUGAAACUGAGAGGCUUGAGGAUCGGAGAGGGCAGUGGAAUUCCCAGUGUAGCGGUGAAAUGCGUAGAUAUUGGGAGGAACACCAGUGGCGAAGGCGACUGUCUGGACGACACCUGACGCUGAGGCGCGAAAGCUAGGGGAGCAAACGGGAUUAGAUACCCCGGUAGUCCUAGCCGUAAACGAUGGGUACUAGGUGUGGGAGGUAUCGACCCCUUCCGUGCCGCAGUUAACACAAUAAGUACCCCGCCUGGGGAGUACGGCCGCAAGGUUGAA
RNAcentral lists this ribosomal RNA (395 nucleotides) under uncultured bacterium. RNAcentral describes it as "bacterial SSU rRNA". It matches the Rfam family "Bacterial small subunit ribosomal RNA", at positions 505 to 898 of the family's 1533-position model. The record is from RNAcentral.